UUGGGCUUACCUUCUUCUCUUUCGGUCUAGAUUUUCCAAGUUGCGUCCAACAUUUUGUUUCUUAGCAGUAUCACCUUCCAGGUCGCCUCGGGAGAAAAUCCGUGGUUGCGUCUUUCCCUCACUGUCCACUAGUCUAUCAUAUUUCCAGCAUAAUCCACUUUCAUCUGUAACUUAAAAAAAAUAAUAAAAUAGCCACACAAUGACAAACAAAGUAACACAAUAGACACAACUAAAAAAAAUAAAAUAAAAUAUAAAGCAAUU
This 261-nucleotide long non-coding RNA is filed under the name Lathyrus oleraceus (garden pea). RNAcentral's name for it is "Pisum sativum (pea) long non-coding RNA (PSAT_LNC031026)". The record is from RNAcentral. Lineage: Eukaryota; Viridiplantae; Streptophyta; Magnoliopsida; Fabales; Fabaceae.